RNAcentral lists this transfer RNA (73 nucleotides) under Paramuricea clavata. It matches the Rfam family "tRNA". From Rfam's summary of the family: Transfer RNA (tRNA) molecules are approximately 80 nucleotides in length. Their secondary structure includes four short double-helical elements and three loops (D, anti-codon, and T loops). The record is from Rfam by way of RNAcentral. Lineage: Eukaryota; Metazoa; Cnidaria; Anthozoa; Malacalcyonacea; Plexauridae.
GCCGAAAUAGGUCAGAUGGGAGAGCGUCAGACUGAAGAUCUGAAGGUCCCUGGUUGAAUCCCGGGUUGCGGCA